CAGGGAAUCUUGCGCAAUGGGCGAAAGCCUGACGCAGCGACGCCGCGCGAGGGAAGAAGGCCUGCGGGUCGUAAACCUCUCUUCUCGGGGAAGAUAGUGACGGUACCCGAGGAAUAAGCCUCGGCUAACUACGUG
Molecule: ribosomal RNA, 135 nt
Filed under: uncultured bacterium
Lineage: Bacteria
Description: partial 16S ribosomal RNA
Rfam family: Bacterial small subunit ribosomal RNA
Source: RNAcentral